RNAcentral lists this small nuclear RNA (115 nucleotides) under Sinocyclocheilus grahami. RNAcentral describes it as "U5 spliceosomal RNA (ENSSGRG00000041355.1)". It matches the Rfam family "U5 spliceosomal RNA". Rfam says of the family: U5 RNA is a component of both types of known spliceosome. Lineage: Eukaryota; Metazoa; Chordata; Actinopteri; Cypriniformes; Cyprinidae. The record is from Rfam by way of RNAcentral.
AGCUCGAGUUUCUCUUCAUUAUCGCAUAAAUCUUUCACCUUUACUAAAGAUUUCCGUGGAGGGGAACUUUUUGCAAGAUACUUGUAUUUUUGGAGGCUCUGAUCACAGCAGAGCU